GCUGUUGCUGGCCCUCCGGGGUGUCGUGCACGCUUGUCUCAUCUUUGUCAUUUCUUCCAACUGUGCACAUUUUGUAGAUCCUGGAAAUGGGAGAGCUCCAUGAACUUGUGUUCGAGUCGGGAAUUGCUGUYGCUUUUUUCUUAGGCCGGCUUUUCCUUGUACCUUUCCCCCAGGUCUAUGUCAUUUUAUCACAAUCUCUCGAGUAUGUUCAGAAUGUCGUUGGAAUAUAAUAUAAUAUAUACAACUUUCAGCAACGGAUCUCUUGGCUCUCGCAUCGAUGAAGAACGCAGCGAAAUGCGAUAAGUAAUGUGAAUUGCAGAAUUCAGUGAAUCAUCGAAUCUUUGAACGCAUCUUGCGCUCCUUGGUAUUCCGAGGAGCAUGCCUGUUUGAGUGUCAUUUAACUUAUCAACCAUGYUUCAUGUCUGGAACGUGGCUUGGAUGUGGGGGCUCUUUUGCAGGCCUAUCUAUGGGUCGGCUCCCCUGAAACGCAUUAGUGGCAUCUGAGCUGCUACUGUAGGUGUGAUAAAUUAUCUAUGCCUUUGGUAUGCUGCAUGAACAGAUCACGCUGCUCAGAACCAAACUUGAGAAAGACUUGACAAACUUGACCUCAAAUCAGGUAGGACUACCCGCUGAACUUAAGCAUAUCAAUAAGCGGAGGAAAAGAAACUAACAAGGAUUCCCCUAGUAACUGCGAGUGAAGCGGGAAAAGCUCAAAUUUGAAAUCUGGCGGUUCUCUGGGCCGUCCGAGUUGUAAUCUAGAGAAGUGCUUACCUGUGCUGGACCGUGUA
RNAcentral lists this ribosomal RNA (788 nucleotides) under uncultured Inocybe. Its description in RNAcentral is "eukaryotic LSU rRNA". The stretch from base 243 to 396 matches the Rfam family "5.8S ribosomal RNA". Lineage: Eukaryota; Fungi; Basidiomycota; Agaricomycetes; Agaricales; Cortinariaceae. The record is from RNAcentral.